This 496-nucleotide ribosomal RNA is filed under the name uncultured bacterium. RNAcentral's name for it is "partial 16S ribosomal RNA". It matches the Rfam family "Bacterial small subunit ribosomal RNA", at positions 29 to 507 of the family's 1533-position model. The record is from RNAcentral.
AUGAACGCUGGCGGCGUGCCUCAUCCAUGCAAGUCGCGCGAACGGACGAGAAGCUUGCUUCUCUGAUGUUAGCGGCGGACGGGUGAGUAACACGUGGAUAACCUACCUAUAAGACUGGGAUAACUUCGGGAAACCGUAGCUAAUACCGGAUAAUAUUUUGAACCGCAUGGUUCAAAAGUGAAAGACGGUCUUGCUGUCACUUAUAGAUGGAUCCGCGCUGCAUUAGCUAGUUGGUAAGGUAACGGCUUACCAAGGCAACGAUGCAUAGCCGACCUGAGAGGGUGAUCGGCCACACUGGAACUGAGACACGGUCCAGACUCCUACGGGAGGCAGCAGUAGGGAAUCUUCCGCAAUGGGCGAAAGCCUGACGGAGCAACGCCGCGUGAGUGAUGAAGGUCUUCGGAUCGUAAAACUCUGUUAUUAGGGAAGAACAUAUGUGUAAGUAACUGUGCACAUCUUGACGGUACCUAAUCAGAAAGCCACGGCUAACUACGUG